Molecule: ribosomal RNA, 274 nt
Filed under: uncultured bacterium
Lineage: Bacteria
Description: partial 16S ribosomal RNA
Rfam family: Bacterial small subunit ribosomal RNA
Source: RNAcentral
GUACGGAAGGUGCAAGCGUUAUUCGGAAUCACUGGGCGUAAAGGACGCGUAGGCGGGUUUGUAAGUCAGGUGUGAAAUACUACAGCUUAACUGUAGAACUGCACUUGAAACUACAGACCUAGAGUAUGGGAGGGGCAGAUGGAAUUAGUGGUGUAGGGGUAAAAUCCGUAGAUAUCACUAGGAAUACCGAAAGCGAAGGCGAUCUGCUGGAACAUAACUGACGCUAAGGCGUGAAAGCGUGGGGAGCAAACAGGAUUAGAAACCCCUGUAGUCC